AAAGCCAAACGAGCCUAGUGAUAGCUGGUUACUUGAUAAAAGAAUUUUAGUUCUACCUAAAGCUCCCAUAAGUCUAAUAAACUAACAUUAAUGCUUUAGAGUUAUUCAAAUAAGGUACAGCCUAUUUGAAUAAGGAAACAACCUAAACUAAUGGGUUAACUCUGCUAUAGUGUACCAAAGUGGGCCUAAAAGCAGCCACCUUCAACAAUAGCGUCAAAGCUUUUCUACACAACCGCACUCAAUCUCUCAACCCAAUCUAAACCCUUUAUUUACAUCAAGUAAUUCUAUAUGUUUAUAGAAUAUAAAAUGUUAAAACUAGUAACAAGAAGAAAACCCUUCUCUUAAAUGUGAGUGUAGGCCAGAAAGGAUAAACCACUGUCAAUUAACACUAAUGAUUCUUAAUUAGUAACGCUACAAGAAAACCCUAAUAAAACAAGUGUUAAACUAACACAAGAACAUUUCAAGAAAGAUUAAAAGAAAAAGAAGGAACUCGGCAAACACCAACCCCGCCUGUUUACCAAAAACAUCGCCUCUUGACAAAUAUAAGAGGUCCAGCCUGCCCAGUGACCUAGUUCAACGGCCGCGGUAUCCUAACCGUGCGAAGGUAGCGUAAUCACUUGUUCUUUAAAUGAGGACUAGUAUGAAUGGCACCACGAGGGUUACACUGUCUCCUUUUUUUAAUCAGUGAAACUAAUCUCCCCGUGAAGAAGCGGGAAUUUUUUUAUAAGACGAGAAGACCCUAUGGAGCUUUAAACAAAUUAACACUUGCUGCCCAAAAUACCUCUCCUAGGAGCACAAUAUAUAGCAUGGCAUCAUGAUUAAUAGUUUUUGAUUGGGGUGAUCACGGAGUAAAAAACAACCUCCAUGUCGAAAGGGUUUCCCCCCUGAGCACAAAGCCACAACUUUAAGCACUAAAAAAUUAACGUUUAUUGACCCAAUAUUUUGAUCAACGAACCAAGUUACCCUAGGGAUAACAGCGCAAUCCACUUCAAGAGCCCCUAUCGACAAGUGGGUUUACGACCUCGAUGUUGGAUCAGGGCAUCCUAGUGGUGCAGCCGCUACUAAUGGUUCGUUUGUUCAACGAUUAAAGCCCU
This 1094-nucleotide ribosomal RNA is filed under the name Boana joaquini. RNAcentral's name for it is "partial 16S ribosomal RNA". It matches the Rfam family "Bacterial large subunit ribosomal RNA", at positions 825 to 2597 of the family's 2925-position model. The record is from RNAcentral. Lineage: Eukaryota; Metazoa; Chordata; Amphibia; Anura; Hylidae.